Macaca fascicularis (crab-eating macaque) is the source of this 1766-nucleotide long non-coding RNA. The record is from Ensembl. NCBI's taxonomy places the organism in Eukaryota, Metazoa, Chordata, Mammalia, Primates, Cercopithecidae.
AUGACUUUCUGUCUUCCAUCCUCACAGUCACCCUUUGAGGUGGGUAUUAGGAUGAACCAUAUAAAACUGCCAUUUUUGUAGGUCAAAAACAGUCAAAUAUUGGUAAUUGUAUGUGGUCAAAUCUAAUAAUCUGUUUGUAAUAAAAAACAGUCAAAUAUUAGCAGUCCUGUAUGGUUCAAUCUGAUCAUCUUAUUGUAUUUGUUUUGCAAAUAGAGAAAUUCAGACAUUGAAACUUGCUCAAAGUCCACCCAUCUAGCAGGUGCCAGAACUGGAAUUUGAACAAGGCAGUCCCCUCCACACCCUCACACUGAACUGCCGCACUGUGCUGUCUCCUUGAGUGGAAGGAAAAGGCAUAUUUUUGUGGCCUAGGUGUUCAAAUAGGUUCUUCAACAACAUCUCGGCCAACUUUGAGAUCAAAGAUGGUUGAUCAGAUGAAUCAAAUGUUUCCUGGAGUCUUGGGUUACACUCAUAAUGCUCUGUUUAAAAGGAAUGAUAAGUAGUGAGCACACCAGAAAUCUGGAAGAUGGAAAAUCUCUCUUUAGGAUCUCUGCUCCUCUCUCGAGCAAAGAAAGAAAUCGGUGUGGUGCCAGCAGAGGUGUUCUCAGCAGGACCUGGCCCAUUAAAUGAAAGACUUCCAUGCUGAGCCAAUCAAGAGAGACCUGGACAAAAAUCAGACUCUUUCCUGCCCUGGAAACCCAUGCCUUGAAUCUGUAAUUCAUCUGUUAAAUCAAGUGUGCAGCCGGUGGUUUAGCACAGAGGGGGAUGACGGGGAAGGGAAGAGAGAGGGGCAGGAGCUGCAGCACUUGAAUUUCCAGCAUCAGAGUCCAGUUAAGGAAAAGAAACAGGGCUGUGAUAGCUUCUUGGACCUUAUGUUUCCAGCAGAGAAAGCAGCAGGAAAGAUUUUUGCAAACAGAUGAGCCGGUGGAAGGUAUUAGAACAAUGGCAGAAGAGGCAGGGACCCCAGGCGCUGAACAAAACACAGUUCCGCUGUUGCCUUUCAACAAGACUGAAUAAAGUUUAGGAUUUUUUUUUUAUGGGACUUGUAGCCGUUUUUAAACUUUCAUUUUUCAUAAUGUCACAGAUAAUCUUUUUAUCUAUUAUCCACUGGCUCUUUUCUGAGAGGCAUUUGCAUCAAAUAGUGCUGCACAGAUCAUGACUGUCUCUAGUGGGGAAAGCAGCUUGAAAUGAAAGGUUAUUCACUCCCUCUGCUUUCGCUGGCUUUGUUCUUGAUUCUCACACAUUUUUUUACAUCUGAAUUCGGGUAUUUCUGGAGUUUUUCUUUAGAAACCCUUCCAUUCUGAGAUCUAAGCAUAUUCAGACUCCGAUCUAUAUAUCAGGGGUUACAAAGCUUAUGCCUACUGAAAGUGAAGCAUGUACUUUGAAACACGUUGGAUGCCCCAUGGUUUCCAAAAUCCCUUCAGAGCAUUUCCUACAGAGGCAGCAACCAUAAAAAGCGGCCACUCACACAGUGGGGGCCCUUUCCCUAGCACUGGCCUCCCGGUGGCAGUGGAGCAGUGGCCUUCCAAGCGUGCACUGCGAGACAUGAGUGGGGCAAUCUGCUGCUUCCAACUGCAGGGAGAACGGGUCUGCAGAAUGAAUUCUCUUUCUCCACUCCUCCCAUGUGGGGAACGAAUGAGAGCCCUCCCGGCGGGGAGAAGCGGGGCUGCAGGAGAGCAUGGUGGAAAACCCAGGAGCCGCCUGAGCUAACAGGGAAUCAAAAAUGACCUUUUUGUGUGCAAAACCCCCUGGGGGGAAAAAAAAAAAAA